GACAGAGGGUGCUAGCGUUGUUCGGAAUGACUGGGCGUAAAGGGCGCGUAGGCGGUUAUAUUAGUCAAGCGUGAAAGCCCCGGGCUUAACCCGGGAAUUGCGCCUGAAACGGUAUAACUAGAGGACGAGAGAGGAAAGCGGAAUUCCUAGUGUAGAGGUGAAAUUCGUAGAUAUUAGGAGGAACAUCAGAGGCGAAGGCGGCUUUCUGGCUCGUUACUGACGCUGAGGCGCGAAAGCGUGGGGAGCAAACAGG
RNAcentral lists this ribosomal RNA (253 nucleotides) under Alphaproteobacteria bacterium. RNAcentral describes it as "partial 16S ribosomal RNA". It matches the Rfam family "Bacterial small subunit ribosomal RNA", at positions 524 to 776 of the family's 1533-position model. Lineage: Bacteria; Pseudomonadati; Pseudomonadota; Alphaproteobacteria. The record is from RNAcentral. RNAcentral also lists the same sequence under 1 other name.